AGACACAUUUAGUAUUCCCGUUGGUCCUCAUUACAUGACAAACGCUCAUCGGAUAAAAGAUCACCCGUGGAUAACAGGCUUAUCUCCCCCAGGAUUUCACAGUGACUGUGUUGUUUGGCACCUCUAUGUCCGCUCAUCGCCUCCUGGGUCUGUAGUCGGUCCCAAGGGUUGUGCUGUUCGCCCAUUAAAUCGUUACGCGAGCUGGUUUCAGCACGUCGUGAGACAGUUCGGUCCCUAUCCGUCGUGGGCGUA
This 252-nucleotide ribosomal RNA is filed under the name Staphylococcus felis. RNAcentral's name for it is "partial 23S ribosomal RNA". It matches the Rfam family "Bacterial large subunit ribosomal RNA", at positions 2404 to 2655 of the family's 2925-position model. Lineage: Bacteria; Bacillati; Bacillota; Bacilli; Caryophanales; Staphylococcaceae. The record is from RNAcentral.